UGAUUCCUACGGGGCGCAGCAGUGGGGGAUAUUGCACAAUGGGGGGAACCCUGAUGCAGCGACGCCGCGUGGGUGAAGGAGCGUUUCGGCGCGUAAAGCCCUAUCGGCAGGGAAGAAGAUGACGGUACCUGACCAAGAAGCCCCGGCUAACUACGUGCCAGCAGCCGCGGUAAUACGUAGGGGGCAAGCGUUAUCCGGAUUUACUGGGUGUAAAGGGGGCGUAGACGGCGAUGCAAGCCAGAUGUGAAAGCCCGGGGCUCAACCCCGGGACUGCAUUUGGGACUGGAUAGCUAGAGUGCCGGAGG
Molecule: ribosomal RNA, 305 nt
Filed under: uncultured bacterium
Lineage: Bacteria
Description: bacterial SSU rRNA
Rfam family: Bacterial small subunit ribosomal RNA
Source: RNAcentral